This 448-nucleotide long non-coding RNA is filed under the name Actinidia chinensis (golden kiwifruit). RNAcentral describes it as "long non-coding RNA (ACHI_LNC009335)". The record is from RNAcentral. Lineage: Eukaryota; Viridiplantae; Streptophyta; Magnoliopsida; Ericales; Actinidiaceae.
UCAGACUUGAACAAGGAUUUCAGAAAUGGAAUGCUAAUAGUUUCUGGAUUAAAGGAGAGAGUACUAAAUUAAAAGCAGUUGCUCAACUGGCAAAGAUCCUACCUUUGCGUUCUUGGGGUUGCUGGUUCGAGUCCCCUCAGGAGGGUCACUGGAGGUUCUCCCAGUCGUUAACUUCAGGCCACCAAAUUAGCCUCUCGUGGACUCAACUGGGUUGGGCAAAGAUACUGGGAUAUGUAUAUACAUAUAUACAUAGGAUAUACAUAUAUAUAUAUAUAUAUAUAUAUAUAGAAGAGGGUUGACAUUAAAUUGAAAAGAAGCAACAAUAGUUCCUAUUUUCACUACAUUUAUUUGCUAAGUGAGAAUUUUAUUAGCAAAACAGAAGAUAUAUAACAUGCUCAAAAACAGUCCGGGCAGGGCGAAAACGCUAAAAAACAAAAGCCUAAAAAUC